RNAcentral lists this ribosomal RNA (254 nucleotides) under uncultured bacterium. RNAcentral's name for it is "partial 16S ribosomal RNA". It matches the Rfam family "Bacterial small subunit ribosomal RNA", at positions 524 to 776 of the family's 1533-position model. The record is from RNAcentral.
GACGAACCGUGCGAACGUUGUUCGGAAUCACUGGGCUUAAAGGGCGCGUAGGCGGCCACCGCAAGUCGACUGUGAAAUCUCCGGGCUUAACCCGGAAAGGUCAGCCGAUACUGCGGGGCUAGAGUGCAGAAGGGGCAACUGGAAUUCUCGGUGUAGCGGUGAAAUGCGUAGAUAUCGAGAGGAACACCUGCGGCGAAGGCGGGCUGCUGGGCUGACACUGACGCUGAGGCGCGAAAGCUAGGGGAGCGAACGGG